This 253-nucleotide ribosomal RNA is filed under the name uncultured bacterium. Its description in RNAcentral is "partial 16S ribosomal RNA". It matches the Rfam family "Bacterial small subunit ribosomal RNA", at positions 524 to 776 of the family's 1533-position model. The record is from RNAcentral.
UACGGGGGGGGCAAGCGUUGUUCGGAAUUACUGGGCGUAAAGGGCGCGUAGGCGGUUGGAUAAGUCAGCUGUGAAAACCACGGGCUUAACUCGUGGCCUGCAGUUGAGACUGUCUGGCUUGAGUGUGGGAGAGGAGAGUGGAAUUCCUGGUGUAGCGGUGAAAUGCGUAGAUAUCAGGAGGAACACCAAUAGCGAAGGCAGCUCGCUGGGACGGUACUGACGCUAAGGCGCGAAAGCGUGGGGAGCGAACAGG